GUGGGUUAGAUCCCAUAUCCUU
This 22-nucleotide microRNA is filed under the name Caenorhabditis briggsae. RNAcentral's name for it is "Cbr-Mir-62_5p* (star (passenger))". Lineage: Eukaryota; Metazoa; Nematoda; Chromadorea; Rhabditida; Rhabditidae. The record is from RNAcentral.